AUGCGGGUACUCACUUAUGGCAUACCCACGGAUUAUGUUGGUACCCGUGUGCAACCUGAAAGAAACCCUUCUCGCAUACACGCUUUUCUUCAAGCACAUCGUCAGAUUGAGGAUGCAACCACUCAUGGUCGGCUCUGGGAUGAUCUAGUAGAGCACCACUGGCAGUUGGAUGGGCGGCGCAUUGGCCCAUGA
Molecule: ribosomal RNA, 192 nt
Filed under: Triticum aestivum (bread wheat)
Lineage: Eukaryota; Viridiplantae; Streptophyta; Magnoliopsida; Poales; Poaceae
Description: partial small subunit ribosomal RNA
Source: RNAcentral